AGAAGGCUCAUAAAUUCGCAGCCGUUUAAUCUCCGAAAAGGCCCCAAGCCUGCGGUGCUGCAACAAAGCGAAGGAAGAGCAAGGACACGAAGAAAGAAAAUGGGGAGGUUUCCACCGUCAUUGCGCACGGCAAGAUUGCCAGCGCCCACCCUACUGAAAAACCUCCCAUCUGUUCUUCCAGGGCAAGAAUCCCAAUCCGAAAACAAUCCUUCAAAGCCCCAUCAUCGCUCUAUACCCAAGAAUAAACCCCACAAGACAAAACCCAAGACCCUGACCCCGAAAGACUCGUCUGAAACCCCGAACCCCCCGUUCACCUUCAACUCCCCAAACCUCUCCGAAGCCAAAUCCCUCUUCGACUCCAUCCUCUCCGCCCACAAGGCGCAGCUGGACCCACGGCUCUGCAACUCCCUGCUCCAUUCAUUCUCGGCCAUCUCAACCCUCCGUGACUCCAUCUAUUUUCUUCACCACAUGACCAAAACCCACCCUCUUUUCACCCCCAAUCGCUCCACUUAUCACGUCUUGCUCGCGCAGUCCUGUAAAUCACCCGAUCCCGGCCUCUCCGAGGUCCGUCAAGCCCUCAAUCUCAUGGUCAAUGACGGUUGCCCUCCCGAGGUCGCCACUACUGACGUCGUCGUACGGUCACUCUGUUCUGCUGGCCGAGAAGACCAUGCUGUUGAAUUGGUAAAGGAGCUGUCUCUCAAACACUCAAAGCCCGAUUCCCAUACGUAUAAUUUUCUCGUUAAGUGUCUUUGCAAGACCAGGUCUUUGACUACUGUGUACAAUUUCAUUGAUGAAAUGCGCGACUCUUUUGAAUUGAAGCCUGACCUUGUUACUUAUACAAUCUUGAUUGAUAACGUGUGUAACAGAAAGAACCUUCGUGAAGCAACAAGGCUUUUAGGGAUAUUAGGUGUUGAUGGCUUUAAGCCCGAUUGCUUUGUUUACAACACAGUCAUGAAGGGUUAUUGUCUGUUGGAUCAGGGGAAUGGGGUCAUUGAGGUUUAUAACAAAAUGAGGGAGGAAGGUGUGGAGCCCGAUCUUGUGACAUACAAUACUCUGAUUUUUGGGUUAUCAAAAUCUGGGAGGGUCAAUGAGGCUAGAAAGUUUUUGGAUGUCAUGGCAGAAAAAGGUCAUUUUCCAGAUGCAGUCACCUAUACAUCUUUGAUGAAUGGGAUGUGUCGGGCAGGGAAUGCGCUGGGAGCAGUAGCUUUGUUGGGGGAGAUGGAAGCAAAAGGAUGCACUCCAAAUGAGUGUACAUAUAAUACGUUGCUUCAUGGAUUGUGUAAGUCAAGGUUGUUGGAGAGAGGAGUAGAGUUGUACGGGGCAAUAACAUCAGCCGGUAUGAAGCUUGAAACAGCCUCUUAUGCUGCACUUGUGAGGUCAUUUUGUAGGGAAAGUAGGAUUGCUGAGGCAUAUGAAGUUUUUGAUUAUGCGGUUGAGAGUAAGAGCCUGAAAGAUGUUGCUGCUUACUCAACAUUGGAGAGUACCCUAAAGUGGCUAAAGAAAGCUAGAGAACAAGGGCUUGCUAAAUGAGUGCUCUGUGAGAGCCUGAGCCGAGAGGAAGAUUGCAGUGAUGGGAGUUGUUGGUUGCGAGUCUGCGAUGAUGGAGGUGGAGGGUGAAGCCGAAGGCUACAGGCAGAGGGAUGAAGGGUCGGAGCACUGGAGGGGAGCCGAAGGCUAGGGCUUUUCAAGGUUCGAAGGUGGAGGCAGGAGGCAGCUGGAAUCCAGGGUGUUUUUUUUUUUUUUUUUAUAUGUUUGAAGAUGGAAGAUGGAAUAAGAAGAAGGCUUUUCUCAAGGUCCUUGAGGUUCUUGCGUGGUUCUGAGUUUGGAAUUGUCAGUGACGUGCCUUCGGCCGAAGGAGCCAAAUGCAUGUGCCAGAUGCUUAUGUCAUAUGACUGCAUUAUAUAAAAUCUAUCAGCAUCCGAUCCCCAACUCCAACGACCUUCUGGAGAAAACGCCAUAGCUGCAGCCUUCUGCGAAGGUUGUGUCCAAUAAAAUCAUUUUUUUUGUGCGUCCCUGUGAAUGCUUGAGGGCUUGCUGGGUUAUACUUGGUUGACCUACAACUCGCAAGAAAUAGGCUUUUGAGCCCAGCCGUGGAGCCUUGCUAAGCGGAAGAUCAUUUCAACUGCCGUUGCAACGACUUUUGGCCCGGGUGACUUUGGCGCUCAACAAAUGUCUGGCCUUGCCACUCACCAUUGUGCUUGAUUGGAGAACAUGAAAUUGUUCUGAUGACUGUUUCCUUGCCCUAUUAUUUUUUCUGACGCAGUAACGUAACCCAUUAUAAACUUCCAUUUCCUCUUUAUUUAUUUUUUUAUUUUUUAAAAUUUUCUUAAUUUUUAAUUAUUUUUUUUGUUUGGGUUACCUUCCAGUUGAUUUAAAAAUAUAUGCAUGAAUACAAAGUGAAGAGGAAUAGUGAACGGAUUUUACAGUAUUUCUUCAAUAAUAUAUAGGAGAUAGUAGCGUUUUCAUUUAA
This is an RNA transcript of Malania oleifera, 2470 nucleotides long. It is a transcript of the gene named pentatricopeptide repeat-containing protein At2g17670, with no coding region annotated. NCBI's taxonomy places the organism in Eukaryota, Viridiplantae, Streptophyta, Magnoliopsida, Santalales, Ximeniaceae. The record is from RefSeq and is a predicted model, not a curated record. The transcript has 3 exons.